Vigna angularis (adzuki bean) is the source of this 2812-nucleotide RNA transcript. It is a transcript of the gene named pentatricopeptide repeat-containing protein At2g13420, mitochondrial, with no coding region annotated. The record is from RefSeq and is a predicted model, not a curated record. Lineage: Eukaryota; Viridiplantae; Streptophyta; Magnoliopsida; Fabales; Fabaceae. The transcript has 2 exons.
CUUCUGAAAUUUUUUACCUUGCCGGAGUCGUCAACCUUAUAGAACUGCAAAAUCGCGAGCUUCAACUUCUUGUGCUUGUGCUUGUGCUUGAUCUUCUUAGGCGUGGUAUAUGUCUUCUUCUCGCGCUUCUUGGCACCACCGCGGAGACGGAGGACGAGGUGGAGAGGGCUGAAAUCCCAAAACCCGAGCCAGUCAACGUUACAACACGCUAUGGCCUUACUAAAACUCCGUCAGAGUUCCUUCCUUUCUCCGUUCUUCCUCCGCCGCUUCUGUUCCGUUCCACCGCCACCAAGUGAAUCCAACGACGCAGAAUUGGUGUCGAAUCUCCUGCUGCAGCACCACAACCCCUUCCACGCCACCGAAUCGAGCCUCCAGCUCCACGGCGUCACCCUCACCCCCGACCUCCUCUUCCAAACCCUCCUCCGCCUCAAGAACCAUUCCAAGAUAGCCCUCUCCCUCUUCCACUACGCCAAAACCCUCCCCAACCCCCCUCUCACCUACGACUCCUACACGCUCCUCAUCGAUUCUGUCGCCAAGGUUCGCCAAUUCGACGUCGCAUGGCAACUCAUCGUCGAAAUGGCCCAGCGCAACCUCCAUCCAAACCCCGCCACCUUCCUAACCCUAAUUCGCCGCCUCAUAGCGGCCGGCCUCACUCGCCAGGCGGUACGCGCCUUCCACGACAUCGACGCCUUUGCCAAAACGACUCCCGAUGACUUCUGCUUCCUGCUCGACACGCUCUGCAAGUACGGCUACGUCAGACUCGCCGUCGAGGUUUUCAACAGAAACCGAACCACUUUCCCUCCGACCGUGAAAAUGUACACGGUUUUGAUCUACGGGUGGUGCAAACUGGGGAAGGUUAAAAUCGCGCAAACGUUUCUGAACGAAAUGAUUGAGCGAGGGAUUGAGCCUAAUGUUGUUACUUAUAACGUUUUGUUGAAUGGGGUUUGUAGGAAGGUGAGUUUGCACCCUGAGGAGAGGUUUGAGAGGACUAUAAGGAACUCAGAGGAGGUGUUUGAUCAAAUGCGCAAGAGUAGGAUUGAGCCGGAUGUGACUAGCUUUUCGAUUUUGCUUCAUGUUUAUAGCCGCGCGCAUAAGCCGGAGUUGGUGCUUGAUAAGCUGAGGUUGAUGAAGGUGAAAGGGAUUUUUCCCAAUGUGGUGAUGUAUACCUCGGUUAUCAAGUGUCUUGCUUCGUGUGGGAGGCUUGAGGAUGCAGAGAGGUUGCUUGAGGAGAUGGUGAAGGAUGGAGUGAGUCCAUGUGCCGCAACGUACAAUUGCUUCUUCAAGGAGUACAGAGGAAGGAAGGAUGCUGAGAGUGCGUUGAGGAUGCUCAAGAGGAUGAAGGAGGAUGGGUUCUGUGCGCCGAGCUCGCACACCUAUGUGAUUUUGAUUAGGAUGUUUUUGAGGUUGGGCAAGAUCAGAGUUGUGAAGGAAAUAUGGGAUGAUAUGAAGGUCACUGGGGCGGGGCCGGAUUUAGAUUUGUACACGGCUUUGGUACAUGGGCUGUGUGAGAGGCAGAACUGGAGGGAGGCUUGCCAUUAUUUUGUUGAGAUGAUAGAGAAUGGGUUUCUUCCUCUGAAAGGUACCUUUGAGACCCUUUACAGGGGGCUAAUUCAGGCUGAUAUGUUGAGGACUUGGAGGAGAUUGAAGAAGAAGCUUGAUGAAGAAUCGAUAGCUUUUGGUUCAGAGUUUCAGAGUUACCACUUGAAACCUUAUAGGAGAUAAGUUAUUACAUGCACAGUACUCUUGAGACUUUUAUAGGUUCUUUGGCCCAAUUUAUCUUUUUGCAUCUACAAGAUUUCAACAAGACUUUGAUGACUUGAGAUAUGAGUGAGACUAUCAUUUUAUCUCCAAUAUUUUUGUUAGGUAUUAGAAGAAGUAAAGAGAAUGACAGACAUAGGGUGGGUUCCCAAUAUCAGCCAUGAGCCUUGUGGGGUACCUUAAAAACUUGACCUUAGUUGUGUGCAUGGGAAGGUUGGGAAGCCUGGAGUUAGCUGGAGGCUCUUUGGCCAUAGGUUUCUCCAACAUAACUGGUUACUCUGUCCUCUCAGGUCUAGCCAUGGGCAUGGAACCCCUUUGCACCCAAGCCUUCGGUCCUAGAAACUUCUCCUUGCUCUCUCUAACUCUGCACAGAACAAUUCAUAUGUUACUUCUAUUUUCUCUUCCCAUUUCUCUUCUGUGGCUCAACCUCCAACCUCUCAUGCUUUUCCUUCGUCAGAAUCCAGACAUAACACAUGUAGCAACCCUCUAUUGCCGCUUCGCCAUCCCAGACCUCAUACCACCCUCUUCGCAUCUAUCUACGCAGCAAAGGAACAACUUGGCCACUGCUGUGGUGCACUUUACUUUCCAUUUUUCUACACCUCUCCACCAUCACCUUUCUAACCAUCAAACUCCACCUUGGCUUGCUGGGAAUCGCUGUUUCAUCCUUUGUUGCCAAUUUCAGAAACCUUUUCUUCCUUCUUCUGUACAUGUUCUAUACACGCGUUCCCGAGGAAUCCUUACAGUGGGCCAGCUGGAUUGACUCCUCUUCAUGUUGCAGCAACUAUGAGUGGCUCAGAGAAUGUGUUGGAUGCAUUAACUGAUGAUCCAGGAAUGGUAAGUCUGUCUCUAUUCUGUAACUUCAUGUUUUCUCAUGCUUUUUGCAUUGUACUACUUCAAACUACGGGGGCAAAGGGGAAAUGACUACAAGGAAAAACUAGUGUUUCUCCUCCUUUUCACCUGACUUUUGGUCCAGUGAAUGAAUGUGUGGAUAGAAUGGGAAGAGAAAUGAGGUGAUCCUUGAGUUCAAUAUAAUGGUUUCUAGUGGGUGCACUCA